This 30-nucleotide non-coding RNA is filed under the name Rattus norvegicus (Norway rat). The record is from RNAcentral. Lineage: Eukaryota; Metazoa; Chordata; Mammalia; Rodentia; Muridae.
UGCCUCUUGUGAAGUUUCUUCUUGAUGUAA